GGGGGGCCGCACUCCGGACGAGAGGACCGCCGUACCCGGUGAGGACAAGACGGCGCGGG
This 59-nucleotide non-coding RNA is filed under the name Deinococcus sp. Lineage: Bacteria; Thermotogati; Deinococcota; Deinococci; Deinococcales; Deinococcaceae. RNAcentral also lists the same sequence under 1 other name. The record is from RNAcentral.